UUUUGUCUUUCUUUUCUUUCUCUUUCUCUUCUUUCUAACUCCGUCUUAACAACAGAAUUACAGGACGGAUGUCAAAUAAAAGUACGGAGGAAAUGCAAGAUGUUGAUGAAGUAAAUGGAAUGGGUUAUCCCACCUGUCUCAUUUAUAUUGAAAAUCCAGAGCCUGGGGUGGUCAACGGAAUAGAAAUAAA
Molecule: non-coding RNA, 190 nt
Filed under: Paramoeba aestuarina
Lineage: Eukaryota; Discosea; Flabellinia; Dactylopodida; Paramoebidae
Source: RNAcentral